ACUGCGGAGGUGAGCGAGCAAAACCUGGUCCUUGCCCUGACGGGAUAUUGGGCAAAGUCAGAAGACGGAAUAAACAAUUAGGAAACCCGGUGGCGAGGGUAUGGCAGAGUUUGCAGAGCUGUGAGAACAGAGGCGGGACGGCCAUGACCUUGCUUGGCUCUUGAAGCGUAGUCGAAUUUACACAGCAACCCUCUGGGCUGCCUGUCAGAAGCCCCGUUUGUGUGUGACAGAGCUGAGUUUCAGAGAGGUCCGGACACUUGCUCAAGCCCAUGCAGAUGGCAAGCGACAGGGCUGCUAUUCAAGCCCGGGUCUGGAACACUCAAGGCUGGUGCUUUCCUCCUUGGACCAAGUCACCCGGAACCAAUGGAAGUAACCUCCAAUGGAAUGACUGCUUUUUACUGUGAAGAGUCUCAGGACCCCAUGCCUCCUGGAGCCUGCCUCAAGUCCCAAAGUCCUUAGUUUUCUUUGUUAGGAGCUAAUUUGGCUGCACGGGCUACAGGGAAAUUCCCCACCAUUUUGAAAACCCAAGCUCUGUCGUCAUCUCCGUCUUCUAGUACCUGUCUCCCUUCAGAAUUUGCUUUGUACCACGGAAGAGUUUCACCUGGGGCUGGAGAACAUCUUUGACUUUCUGUUUGCCUCAAAAGAAGCUCAGUGCUGCCUAUCUAUAGAAAUUUAUGCUAUUUCUACAAGUGCAAACAGUGUAACUACACAGAGCUUGGAGACUGGGGUUGGAAAGGGAGUAGUUCAGCUUGAAUCUAUUUUUGGCCAGAUCCAAUUUAGAGGAAGAACGCCACUUUCAUGAUGAUGGUGAUGAUGAUGAUGAUUACUCUUUGAAGGAGUAGCUCUUCUAGUGACACGUGAUGAGUGUCACGUGAUCAGCAUAAGCACGCACGAGCGCACCCUCCACUCUACAUUAACGGAGGGACAGGAGGGAGGGUUUCAGUAAAAUUUUUAAAUCAUAAGGAUACAUACACAGAGUCAGAUGUGAUGACUUCAAAUCAAUCACAGUUGUGGCCAAGCCGUAUUUUCCAACAAAGUUGUCAGCUGCCACUCUCUGUAAUGCAUCCGGAACUCCUCUUUUUUGCUACCUUUUAUAAAACCCGUGUCAGAUUACUUGGAAUGUCCUCAAGAACGUACAAAUCUUUGGGUUUUUUGUACUGUGAUUUUGGGGACUGUUCCCGGUUGAAUAGUGAACCCCCCAAAUUCACAUCCACCUGGAAGCUAAGAACAUGCAGACAUAUUAUGAGGGCAAGUUUAGGGUGGAUCCUAUAUCCUAUAUAACUGGUCUCCUUAGAAAGAGGAGAGAAAAGAAGACACAUAGAGACAGAGACAUACAGGGAGAAUGCUGUGUGAUGGACAAGGUCAAAGUGCUGUGUCUACAAGUCAAGAAAUGUCAAGGAUUGCUAGGGACCACCAGAGCUAGGAAGAGGAAAGGAAGACUAGACACUAUAGAGAGUGACACGGCCCUGCCACGACCUUGAUUUUGGACUUCUAGACUCCACAACUAGGAGAGAAAACAUUUCUGUUGUUUAACCCACUCGGCGUGUGGUACUUUGUACGACAGUCCCAGGAAGCUAACACAGAAGCUAAGUCGGUUGACUGAGGAAGUAAUCAAGCUGAGUAAUUCUGCUGCUGAUCAAACAAACGCUGUGAUCAACCAGACCAGACGGAUUUAAAGGACACAACAGAGACACAUUCUACCCGCACCGAUGCUGUCUCUACAUGAAGCCUGCUCUGACCUUCAGCCCCCAGAACCUGUAUAAAUGCUCGUAAGCUUUUUUGCCCUGUGCCCUUAUUUCACGAAGACAACUCACGUACACGGUCAGUUCUCGUUUUCAUAACGUGUGUCUUUUUCUCAAGCGGACGGCGUGCAUUUUGAGCAGAAGCCACGUCGAUACGUCUUUUAUAUUCCGUCCUCCUUAGCGAGUCCCACAUCAUCUCAUGCAGCGUGGAUGGAGAGGUGAAAGAGAAUUCAAGAGUGCCAGAGACUCCGUGGAUGCAUGCAUCAGAAGAACGGCGGAGUCCUAAUGCAAAGUUCUCCACGUAAAGACACAUUUUGGCUCUUGCCCCCGACACGGUCCCAGCUCUCGGGCUGCCAUUACCCGGUACUCCACCCUACCAAGAAUGGGCAUUGAACUAACUGCGGUUUGGGAGGGAAGCUUCUGAGUUCCAAGAUUCUUCUGAACUCCACUUGCUUUAAGUGAUUUUCACUGCAGAGUUGCAUCAAAGCUCUUUUUUUUGGCAAAGAAGUUGCCAUAUACGAUUAAAAAUAAUUUGGGGGGCAGGAUCUCUACCAGGAAUUGAACAAACAAUGUACUGUCUUAAGCUGGUUCCAAAUUCCUAAUGCAUCUGUUUUGUACAGUCCCCAUUUCAUAAAACUACAAUUCCUCGUU
Long non-coding RNA from Felis catus (domestic cat), 2393 nucleotides. RefSeq lists it as uncharacterized. Lineage: Eukaryota; Metazoa; Chordata; Mammalia; Carnivora; Felidae. The transcript is spliced from 4 exons. The record is from RefSeq and is a predicted model, not a curated record.